GAGUUUCAUCAUUUUUCCACCAAGUGUUGCAGGCUAUUUUGGUGGAAUCCAUCUCAUAUUGUCCAUAGUACAAUUUAUUUAAUAAAUAAAUGAUUUGAACAACUAACGCCUCAUAUAUAUUUACUAUCCGGCCAAGAACAAUGAAAUGAUCUUAGUAAAACACCUAGCCAACGCAAACAAAGUGUCAGUGUACAUCCAACUUAUCUAUUUCCAAACACAACUCCAAAAUCCUUCAAGCCACAUUAAAUCCUUACCAUAGCCAGUCUUCAACCCUUCAACAUCCUUCAAAUCCUUCAUAAGUCUUCUAAUUUCACAGUACAUCAACUUCAAACUGAACAUCAUUCCAUCUCUUUUAUCCAUUAUCUAUACAGCAUUUAAUAUCACAUUUUUUUCAGAUCUAACAGUAAAACAAAAAACCUAAACUCUUCAUAAUUCCCUGCAAUAAUUUAAGAAAUUUAGCGAUGAAGCAACAAAUCAUAUCAACUGUUGAAUGCCUACAAUUUUCUUAAAUUACCUUACCUCAUUCAACAACAAAUAGCAAGUCCAGGUGCUUCUAUUGUCUAACAGUUAUCACAAAUUCAUGCCAAAUACUUCAAUGUGCCAUACAAUGUGAUGCUUGAUGGAUAAAUAAUCAACUUUAGUAGCACUUAUUGUCCAAUCUAAAAUGGUCAUUUGCUUUUCUUUAUAAGUCCAAUUUAUAACUUCAAAUAAUCAGUUAUGAUUUCGAUUUAUAAUGAUUCUCAAAUAAACAGCCAUUGGAUAUUCAUUUACUUUUGAAUACACGGCAAAAUCCAUUACAUUAUCUUCGAUUAGACACAAUUCCAAGCUAACAAUUUGUGGCUACUACUUGAAGUCAUAAGAUGAAAAAUAAUACCUUUUUGCUUACUACAUCAGGCGAUCUAACAAAGAUGAUUCUGUCAACAGAGGACACCAAUGCAUUUCCUGUCCUACCAUCUUACCCAUCUUAGUGGCUUCCCUUUUUACCGAAAAAGUCCAACCAAAGUCCAAUCCACCCAAACUCACCAUUAUUAACUGUAAAUUUUGAAAGAAAAAUGACAUCAAAUUACUUGUUAGCAUAAUGACCAAAACUUGCAAAGGAAAACAUCAUACACCAACCAUUCCAUAGAAUCAAGCCUCUGUGUUUUAAGUAUUAUUAAUGUUCAAGCCAAAGAAAACAUAGAAGGAUAUCCAAGGAGCAUUUCUCUUUAUUCAAUAACCAUAAGUUCCUCUCUUCAUCAUCGCUUUCUUUUCCUGCAACCAAUAAAUCCCAUGUCAACUUGUAGCUAUAAAUCUUCAUUCCAGACAUAAAGAUGAACAAAAAGAAUUGAUAUUUAAUUAUGAACAAACAAAAGACCCUUUAUCGGUUUGAUAAAACGUUUGAAAACUGAUAACUCAAAUUGCAUUCAAAUAGACAUAUGUCCAACAUCCAAAGCUACAACAAAUGAAAAAAGAUCACAAAAAAACCAUUUACAGGGUUAGUAAAUAAAACCAGAUCGACAAAUCAACAUACAAACACACCCCAACACACACGGUUAAACUAACAUCAAUCUUAUAGAAGGAUAGAAUGACAAACCUUGAUGAUGUGGAAAUUCGUUUAGGGGUUUUAUGGAGAGAAAAAAAGGAUUGCGGGUGGAUUUGGUGUGCAAUCGAAAACAGGAAGAUCGUGUACCAAAUUUAUGGAUACUCCUUAACGCCAAUCAAUACAACAAAAAAAUACCUUUAGGUUUAGUACCCACGCUUUCUUUUCUUUCCUUAGUGUCCUCUUAACCUCAAAUCACAAUAGCCAAAAAAAAAUAUAAAGAAACACCUGUGAACAUAAAACACAUUGAAACACACAAACACACCUAAAGUUAGAGAGAGUGAGAGAGAGAGAGAGAGAGACUUCGGUGGUGCGAAGAUGGUGCUGUGGAUCCAUAUCCAUGACUAAAAACAUGUAAAAAGAAAAUAAGAAUAUGAAUUACUUCCAGUGACAAUAAAAUGACGACAGGAACAAAAACUUCAAAAUUACUAACCCAAAAAUAAAGAUGAUAAAUCGGAUCAACAUACAUUCUCAAACAAUGGUGGUGAAUGUCGUUAGUAAGGGAAAGGAAAGGUGGAGGGGAAAUAGUUCUGACGACGGUGAUUAGUGGUGAGAAAGGGUUUCUAGAUCCAAUCUACAGUGGUGAAGGUCGUGGAGGCGAUAAAGAGUUGUGGUAGAAGGCGAAAGGAGACAGAGCCAAUGUGGUGGUGGUCGGAAUUCCAUAGUUGGGGUUUCUUUGACCGAUAGAGAGAUAGAGAGAAUGAAU
RNAcentral lists this long non-coding RNA (2285 nucleotides) under Lactuca sativa (garden lettuce). RNAcentral's name for it is "long non-coding RNA (LSAT_LNC003550)". Lineage: Eukaryota; Viridiplantae; Streptophyta; Magnoliopsida; Asterales; Asteraceae. The record is from RNAcentral.